Molecule: non-coding RNA, 31 nt
Filed under: Mus musculus (house mouse)
Lineage: Eukaryota; Metazoa; Chordata; Mammalia; Rodentia; Muridae
Source: RNAcentral
UGUGCUUCAUUCUGUGGAUCUGACAUGCCUU